Molecule: long non-coding RNA, 455 nt
Organism: Pseudophryne corroboree (corroboree frog)
Lineage: Eukaryota; Metazoa; Chordata; Amphibia; Anura; Myobatrachidae
Exons: 3
Source: RefSeq, a predicted model, not a curated record
UUGAUGAGCAUGCAGCUCCAGAGACAAAAGCAGCCUGAAACUGAGACUUUUGGACCCCGAAUAAGUUUUACCUAAUGACGGACCAGACAAGCCCACAUUGGAAUGCAAAGUGGAGUAAAUAAUAGAUUACUCACUAGCUGGAUUUAUGUUUGCAUUUCCAUGCCACCUGAGUCCAAUGGUCCAUCACUAAGCAGGAUCCAGAAAGCUCAUAACCCUUUAUGGAAUCUACUUCCAGGGAUAAAAUGACAACCUGAUGGUACAAAAAUGUCAAGCCCCUCUUCCCACGGUUCAGAGAAUAAGCAGGGCCAUAUUAUCCCAUGGCUGGACCCCUGUGCAUCAGGUAUUUUGGGCCCUCUCUGGCACUUCAAUCUUUCACCCCUCUACCGCUGUCAUUUGGGAUGCAAAGCUUACAGUAUGCCGUCAUUUACACUUUCAGCAUUCACACAGACACCGAU